AGCGGCGGACGGGUGAGUAACGCGUGGGUAACCGUGCCUCAUACAGGGGGAUAACAGUUGGAAACGGCUGCUAAUACCGCAUAGGCGCACAGUACCGCAUGGUACCGUGUGAAAAACUCCGGUGGUAUGAGAUGGACCCGCGUCUGAUUAGCUGGUUGGUGGGGUAACGGCCUACCAAGGCGACGAUCAGUAGCCGACCUGAGAGGGUGACCGGCCACAUUGGGACUGAGACACGGCCCAA
RNAcentral lists this ribosomal RNA (241 nucleotides) under uncultured bacterium. Its description in RNAcentral is "partial 16S ribosomal RNA". It matches the Rfam family "Bacterial small subunit ribosomal RNA", at positions 94 to 334 of the family's 1533-position model. The record is from RNAcentral.